GUGGGUAAUCUACCCUCGGGUGGGGAAUAACUUCCCGAAAGGGGAGCUAAUGCCGACAUGUGCAACAUUUUCGCAAGGGAGUGUUGGAAAGCCGUAUCGUGGAUACGGCGCCCAAGGAUGAGCUCAUGUCCUAUCAGCUUGUUGGCGGGGUAACGGCCCACCAAGGCUGCGACGGGUAGCUGGUCUGAGAGGACGACCAGCCACACUGGCACUGCGACACGGGCCAG
Molecule: ribosomal RNA, 227 nt
Filed under: uncultured bacterium
Lineage: Bacteria
Description: partial 16S ribosomal RNA
Rfam family: Bacterial small subunit ribosomal RNA
Source: RNAcentral